UCUUCUCUUCUUCCAUUCAAUUAUAUGUGAUUGCUUUACAGGAGGCAUUGUAUGAAACAGCAACACACCAGGAAGGAAAUAUCCUACAGGGGGAAUAAUGAUUUCCUUAUGUUUGAAAACACAGAACUAUGGAUUGCUUUCGUACUUUAAAGGAGACAUAACAUGAAAAACCCACUUUUUUAUCCAUUAACACGGUGUGUUUCACAUUUUAAGUGUCUAAGUGAGCAAAAAGGCUUAUAUUAUUCACUGGAGUUGCUAUUUAGAUAUUUAAUAAUUAAGUUUUGGGCAUAUUUGUCCACCCGUUCAGUUUUUACAUUAUCUAUUACAUCAGUAAUUAAUUUAGUGAGGAUAACUACCAAAUAUGAUAAUGGCCCUCGGCUAAACACAGAGCCAAUCCGCCAUUUUUUCUUCUCGCUAAGAUUUUUUGUAGUCCUAUUGGAAAAAUGCAGAAUGUCUGGUUAUUUUAGCCACACACAGCUCAAAACUGUUCCUCGUUUUAAGGAAGGGUGGUGUGGCAGUAUUUAAACCCAGGAGCUGAUGACACUACUGCUAAAAAAACACAGAAGAAAAAGUAGUGUGUUUGCGUUUGUUUGUGUGUGUGUGUGUGCGUGCGCGCGCGUGGUUCGUUCGUUCUGUCUCCAGGCUAGUGGCUAAGUACUGAGGGCUUCAUCUAUCUAAAAGGAGUUAUUUCCAUCUGAAUUUGGCAGCACCGGGACACAGCAGCAGAGCGAGUCCACAUCCAGAAGACUGGAGCCAUGUUUCACUGACAGGCUGUCAGACUAACGCCCUGAUGAGCUCAGCUGGGACAAACUGGUCUGAUGUUUAGGAACACAGAACGUUCAGAUGUUGGCGUUUCACGUCACCUACUGAGGAAGGAGACCCACCAGUAAAGAGACGGUCUGGACCAGACCAAAAAUAUGGCGAUGACAUCAUGGAACUGGUCUUUGGAAAAGUUUUCCCUGAACCAACUCCGUUUCUAGAUGAGGUAGAGAAGAUCUGCAUCUCACCAACUCUCUGGUCUCAGUAUUCAGACAACGGAGGUCUCCCACUGUUGUCCAGGACCAGUUUGAAGCCCACAUACUGCCCCUCCCUCAUCAUCAGGAAACAUCAAUCCGUAUCCUGAGGACAACAGAAGACGGCAGGAGGACAGGAACUCUGAGACCUAGACCACCAGCACCGAGACACAAAGCACCUGUGUGCACAACGCCUGUUUUAACUACUAAAGCCUGUUUAUUAUAUUGUUCUACUUAUUUGCUGUGAGGUUAAUACUUAGAAAAUUUGUAUAUUAAUGUAAACAAUAAAAAAAUCACUGAUUGUAUGCUUUCUUUUAGAUGUAAUGGUCCAAACUCAGCCUUGUAGACAUUUAUUGCACCCUGUAGGUAAAUACACAGAACAGGCUCAGGUCCAGGAUGACCCAGCAUGCUCUUCUUCCAUUCUGGCUGUUAGGGAUUGUAUCAAUAACUCAAUGCCUACUGAUGUUUUCACCUAACGGUAUUUAUUUAGAAUGCAGGUAAGAUUUAACUAUAUUUGUUAGCAAAGCAGACUGAUCUUGGGAAUUUCACUGCAGCACUGAUGUCCACCUCUCUGUACACAUUAGAGAGAAUUACCACUUUACAGCUAAACACAUUUAAUAAAGAUAUAGGCUACGCAUUGCAGACAAUAAAAACAAAGUUGUAAGCAUUAGAAUUAUAAUGAUGACAUUAAAGAACACUUGGAGGAAUGUUCUUUAUUUUUGACUAGAAUCUCAAAUCUUUAAAUUAAAAUGUAACUGCUUUUUAUCCAUUUUCAGCCAUUAAGACACCCAAUAUAAAAUAAGACUACUUAUAAAAUUAUUUAUAAUUAUAUGUAUGUAUAUAGAUAGAGAUCUUAAUAAAAUAUAUUCUUUGAA
Molecule: non-coding RNA, 1888 nt
Organism: Nothobranchius furzeri (turquoise killifish)
Lineage: Eukaryota; Metazoa; Chordata; Actinopteri; Cyprinodontiformes; Nothobranchiidae
Source: RefSeq, a predicted model, not a curated record